GAAAUGCGAUAAGUAAUGUGAAUUGCAGAAUUCAGUGAAUCAUCGAAUCUUUGAACGCACAUUGCGCCCGCCAGUAUUCUGGCGGGCAUGCCUGUCCGAGCGUCAUUUCAACCAUCAAGCCCCCGGGCUUGUGUUGGGGACCUGCGGCUGCCCGCAGGCCCUGAAAACCAGUGGCGGGCUCGCUGUCACACCCAGCGUAGUAGCAAUCACCUCGCUCAGGGCGUGCUGCGGGUUCCGGCCGUUAAACAGCCUUACAAAACCCAAGGUUGACCUCGGAUCAGGUAGGAAGACCCGCUGAACUUAAGC
RNAcentral lists this unclassified non-coding RNA (306 nucleotides) under plant metagenome. RNAcentral describes it as "partial contains 5.8S ribosomal RNA, internal transcribed spacer 2, and large subunit ribosomal RNA". The stretch from base 1 to 105 matches the Rfam family "5.8S ribosomal RNA", at positions 50 to 154 of the family's 154-position model. The record is from RNAcentral.